GUCCCGCAACGAGCGCAACCCCUAUCACUAGUUGCCAUCAGUUCGGCUGGGCACUCUAUUGAGACUGCCGGUGUUAAGCCGGAGGAAGGUGGGGAUGACGUCAAGUCCUCAUGGCCUUUAUGUCCAGGGCUACUCACGUGCUACAAUGGCCGGGACAGACGGUUGCAAACCCGCGAGGGGGAGCCAAUCCGAAAAACCCGGUCUCAGUUCGGAUUGGAGUCUGCAAUUCGACUCCAUGAAGCGCGGAAUCGCUAGUAAUCGCGGAUCACAUGCCGCAGUGAAUACGUUCCCGGGCCUUGUACACACCGCCCGUCACACCAC
This 321-nucleotide ribosomal RNA is filed under the name uncultured delta proteobacterium B2M65. Its description in RNAcentral is "bacterial SSU rRNA". It matches the Rfam family "Bacterial small subunit ribosomal RNA", at positions 1084 to 1405 of the family's 1533-position model. The record is from RNAcentral. Lineage: Bacteria; Deltaproteobacteria.